AGCUUCAGUAGCGUAUAUUAAAGUUGUUGCAGUUAAAAAGCUCGUAGUCGCAUUUCUGGCGAGAGGAUCCGGUCCGACCUUUUGGUGGGUUCUUGGGUCUCUUUCGCCAUCCUUGAGUGGUCCGUUCUGGCAUUAGGUUGUCGGAGCGUCAGCCGCUCAUCGUUUACUGUGAGAAAAUUAGAGUGUUCAAAGCAGGCUUAUGCCGUUGAAUAUAUUAGCAUGGAAUAAUAAGAUAGGACCUCGGUACUAUUUUGUUGGUUUGCGCACCAAGGUAAUGAUGAACAGGGACAGUUGGAGGUAUUUGUAUUUCGUUGUCAGAGGUGAAAUUCUUAGAUUUACGAAAGACAAACUGCUGCGAAAGCAUUUACCAAGGAUGUUUUCA
RNAcentral lists this ribosomal RNA (382 nucleotides) under uncultured marine Chaetocerotaceae. RNAcentral describes it as "SSU rRNA". It matches the Rfam family "Eukaryotic small subunit ribosomal RNA", at positions 587 to 972 of the family's 1831-position model. Lineage: Eukaryota; Bacillariophyta; Thalassiosirophyceae; Chaetocerotales; Chaetocerotaceae. The record is from RNAcentral.